GCUACCAGUAUCAGAUUAUCAACAUGACUGAAUUAAAAUGAUGCAAAUCUUUCUCUGUAGUAUAAAAAAAUGCACUUACAGGUUUUGUGCUAGGUCUGUGCUUGACAGGCUAGAGAUUUAACUACACACACUCCAAAGAGGCAGCCAUUCUCUUGUCAGUAUGCAGGCUAUAUUCUGCAAUGCUAGAUCAGUAUGUUAGAAGUCUUACAAGAGCUAUCUGCAACUGGGGCCUGGCUUUCUUUCUGAAACAAUGAACUCUGUUUAAUGUGGUGUGUCUUUCAGAAGCAGCACAGGGCAGAACAAGAAUCAUGGUACACCAAAAGACAAAUAUAAUUGGUAGAGAAUUAGGAAACAGACCCAAAGCCACUGAAGACAUUUGAUGGAGAGAGGAGCAUUGUGGGUAGAGCUGAGCUCGAGAGAUUUUUGGCUGGCACAAGCUCUAUAAUGGCCAAACUGGUUCAGAGGAUCAGAACUGACUACCCAAGAGUCAAGAACAGAUGAAGAUGGAGAUCAGAUUAAAUGUUUUGUUCUGCUUAAGGGUGAGGUUGUUGGCACAAAAGGAGCACAUGACCAUAGGAAAACCAAAGGACUUUCCUGAGGAUGAUUAAUCUUUCUUAGAUGCUGAUAACGGACAUGGAAUCUACAGACAUGGUUUAUGAAGUCUACAUCAUUUCACCAAUGAAAGUGGCUAUUUUUCUUUAUAUUGAGCAUACCAAGAAUUUUCAAUUAUACAAAUAAAGGUUCUUAUUGUUUUACUGUUAAAUUAGUAAAUAUUUAUACCAAUUUUGUGUUACGCUGUUCCCUGUUUAAGUUCAUUUUGUGACAUAUGAGAAAACCUCCAACAGUACAGCAAGAUGACAGUAAGGCUGUUAUUCAUAGUCUCUUUCACAACUGUGAUAGUGGUAUUCCUGAUGCUUAUGGAUAAGAAUAGCAAAGGCAAGAUUCAUAAAGGCCAUUUUACUAAUGUGAAGGACAUUAAAAUAAUGAGAUGCAGAUGAGAAAUGUAAAACAUAGUAUACUAAUGGUGUGGUUUUGCAAUUCAUAGUCUGACACAUGUGUGGUAUGCACAUUCCUUGAUAAAUGUGGUGCAUCACCUUUGAAAUUGGAGUUGCAGUCCACACACCUGCCCUCAGCCAUUCCUUCAAUACUUUGUCCAAGUAUGGAUAAUAAUUUCCCUGAUACACAAAUGAAUUAUUUCCCCAGCAACCCCUUCAUUAGUUUGUCUUAGGUAUACACAAGCACUAAAAUAACACAAAAUAAAUUAUUAUGCCCAGAAAGCACUUCAGCAGUAUGAUGAUAUAUGCACAAGCACU
Molecule: long non-coding RNA, 1313 nt
Organism: Protopterus annectens (West African lungfish)
Lineage: Eukaryota; Metazoa; Chordata; Ceratodontiformes; Protopteridae
Exons: 6
Source: RefSeq, a predicted model, not a curated record